GACGAACGCUGGCGGCGUGCUUAACACAUGCAAGUCGAACGAUGAAGCCAGCUUGCUGGUGGAUUAGUGGCGAACGGGUGAGUAACACGUGGGUGAUCUGCCCCAAACUUUGGGAUAAGCCUGGGAAACUGGGUCUAAUACCGAAUAUUACCUUCUCCUGCAUGGGGGUUGGUGGAAAGCUCCGGCGGUUUGGGAUGGGCCCGCGGCCUAUCAGCUUGUUGGUGGGGUAAUGGCCUACCAAGGCGACGACGGGUAGCCGGCCUGAGAGGGCGACCGGCCACACUGGGACUGAGACACGGCCCAGACUCCUACGGGAGGCAGCAGUGGGGAAUAUUGCACAAUGGGCGCAAGCCUGAUGCAGCGACGCCGCGUGGGGGAUGAAGGCCUUCGGGUUGUAAACUCCUUUCGCCAUUGACGAAGCCCUUUGGGGUGACGGUAGGUGGAGAAGAAGCACCGGCUAACUACGUGCCAGCAGCCGCAGUAAAAC
This 487-nucleotide ribosomal RNA is filed under the name uncultured bacterium. RNAcentral describes it as "bacterial SSU rRNA". It matches the Rfam family "Bacterial small subunit ribosomal RNA", at positions 28 to 526 of the family's 1533-position model. The record is from RNAcentral.